UACGUAGGUGGCAAGCGUUGUCCGGAUUUACUGGGCGUAAAGAGCGCGCAGGCGGUUGUUCAAGUCGCGUGUGAAAGCCCCCGGCUCAACUGGGGAGGGUCACGCGAUACUGGUUGACUCGAAGGCAGGAGAGGGUAGUGGAAUUCCCGGUGUAGUGGUGAAAUGCGUAGAUAUCGGGAGGAACACCAGUGGCGAAGGCGACUACCUGGGCUGUUUCUUGACGCUGAGGCGCGAAAGCUAGGGGAGCAAACGGG
Molecule: ribosomal RNA, 254 nt
Filed under: uncultured bacterium
Lineage: Bacteria
Description: partial 16S ribosomal RNA
Rfam family: Bacterial small subunit ribosomal RNA
Source: RNAcentral